UUCCAGCUUCCAUGCACAGCUGAGGCUCUGCUGGCCUGGCCAGCUUGAUUAAGAGGAAAUGGGGCUGCAGAAGGCCUCUUCCAGGUCUUGGAGUCCCUGCCUUGGGUUGAUCCUCCACAGCAACCAGGCUAACACCUCUCUUCCUUCCUGGAAGCCCCGGACUCUGAGCAAAGGGGCCUGGCAUUUUCCUCUGCCAUCCUGGGGACGUCACUCUGACAACCACGGACAUGUGGUUUCCUGGGCCGAUGAAGCCAGGCUGAAAUCAAGACCCCUUCCUAGGUGAUGUUCCCAGCAAACUGCCGAGGUCUUGACUGCCCGAGAGGCACACAAGAUCUCCAGGGCUCCAAUAAUUUGCUAUUUCUUACCCUUUCUAAAUACUCACUUUCAUGUCUGUUUUUA
Non-coding RNA from Heterocephalus glaber (naked mole-rat), 399 nucleotides. NCBI's taxonomy places the organism in Eukaryota, Metazoa, Chordata, Mammalia, Rodentia, Bathyergidae. The record is from RefSeq and is a predicted model, not a curated record.